This 253-nucleotide ribosomal RNA is filed under the name uncultured bacterium. Its description in RNAcentral is "partial 16S ribosomal RNA". It matches the Rfam family "Bacterial small subunit ribosomal RNA", at positions 524 to 776 of the family's 1533-position model. The record is from RNAcentral.
UACGGAGGGGGCUAGCGUUGUUCGGAAUUACUGGGCGUAAAGCGCACGUAGGCGGAUCGUUAAGUCGGGGGUGAAAUCCUGGAGCUCAACUCCAGAACUGCCUUCGAUACUGGCGAUCUAGAGUCCGGAAGAGGUGAGUGGAACUCCUAGUGUAGAGGUGGAAUUCGUAGAUAUUCGGAGGAACACCAGUGGCGAAGGCGGCUCACUGGCUCGGUACUGACGCUGAGGUGCGAAAGCGUGGGGAGCAAACAGG